This 301-nucleotide ribosomal RNA is filed under the name uncultured bacterium. Its description in RNAcentral is "partial 16S ribosomal RNA". It matches the Rfam family "Bacterial small subunit ribosomal RNA", at positions 509 to 809 of the family's 1533-position model. The record is from RNAcentral.
CAGCCGCCGCGGGAAUACAGAGGGUGCGAGCGUUAAUCGGAUUUACUGGGCGUAAAGCGUGCGUAGGCGGCUUCUUAAGUCGGAUGUGAAAUCCCUGAGCUUAACUUAGGAAUUGCAUUCGAUACUGGGAAGCUAGAGUAUGGGAGAGGAUGGUAGAAUUCCAGGUGUAGCGGUGAAAUGCGUAGAGAUCUGGAGGAAUACCGAUGGCGAAGGCAGCCAUCUGGCCUAAUACUGACGCUGAGGUACGAAAGCAUGGGGAGCAAACAGGAUUAGAUACCCGCGUAGUCCCUGUCUCUUAUAU